GUGGGGAAUAUUGGACAAUGGGCGCAAGCCUGAUCCAGCCAUGCCGCGUGAGUGAUGAAGGCCUUAGGGUUGUAAAGCUCUUUCAGUGGGGACGAUAAUGACGGUACCCACAGAAGAAGCCCCGGCUAACUUCGUGCCAGCAGCCGCGGUAAUACGAAGGGGGCUAGCGUUGUUCGGAAUUACUGGGCGUAAAGCGCACGUAGGCGGAUAUUUAAGUCGGGGGUGAAAUCCUGGAGCUCAACUCCAGAACUGCCUUCGAUACUGGCGAUCUUGAGUCCGGAAGAGGUGAGUGGAACUCCUAGUGUAGAGGUGGAAUUCGUAGAUAUUAGGAAGAACACCAGUGGCGAAGGCGGCUCACUGGUCCGGUACUGACGCUGAGGUGCGAAAGCGUGGGGAGCAAACAGGAUUAGAAACCCGGGUAGUCC
This 425-nucleotide ribosomal RNA is filed under the name uncultured bacterium. Its description in RNAcentral is "partial 16S ribosomal RNA". It matches the Rfam family "Bacterial small subunit ribosomal RNA", at positions 354 to 796 of the family's 1533-position model. The record is from RNAcentral.